RNAcentral lists this ribosomal RNA (1448 nucleotides) under Salmonella enterica subsp. enterica serovar Rissen. Its description in RNAcentral is "bacterial SSU rRNA". It matches the Rfam family "Bacterial small subunit ribosomal RNA". The record is from RNAcentral. Lineage: Bacteria; Pseudomonadati; Pseudomonadota; Gammaproteobacteria; Enterobacterales; Enterobacteriaceae.
GGCCCAGGGCGGCGGCUAACACAUGCAAGUCGAACGGUAACAGGAAGCAGCUUGCUGCUUUGCUGACGAGUGGCGGACGGGUGAGUAAUGUCUGGGAAACUGCCUGAUGGAGGGGGAUAACUACUGGAAACGGUGGCUAAUACCGCAUAACGUCGCAAGACCAAAGAGGGGGACCUUCGGGCCUCUUGCCAUCAGAUGUGCCCAGAUGGGAUUAGCUUGUUGGUGAGGUAACGGCUCACCAAGGCGACGAUCCCUAGCUGGUCUGAGAGGAUGACCAGCCACACUGGAACUGAGACACGGUCCAGACUCCUACGGGAGGCAGCAGUGGGGAAUAUUGCACAAUGGGCGCAAGCCUGAUGCAGCCAUGCCGCGUGUAUGAAGAAGGCCUUCGGGUUGUAAAGUACUUUCAGCGGGGAGGAAGGUGUUGUGGUUAAUAACCACAGCAAUUGACGUUACCCGCAGAAGAAGCACCGGCUAACUCCGUGCCAGCAGCCGCGGUAAUACGGAGGGUGCAAGCGUUAAUCGGAAUUACUGGGCGUAAAGCGCACGCAGGCGGUCUGUCAAGUCGGAUGUGAAAUCCCCGGGCUCAACCUGGGAACUGCAUUCGAAACUGGCAGGCUUGAGUCUUGUAGAGGGGGGUAGAAUUCCAGGUGUAGCGGUGAAAUGCGUAGAGAUCUGGAGGAAUACCGGUGGCGAAGGCGGCCCCCUGGACAAAGACUGACGCUCAGGUGCGAAAGCGUGGGGAGCAAACAGGAUUAGAUACCCUGGUAGUCCACGCCGUAAACGAUGUCUACUUGGAGGUUGUGCCCUUGAGGCGUGGCUUCCGGAGCUAACGCGUUAAGUAGACCGCCUGGGGAGUACGGCCGCAAGGUUAAAACUCAAAUGAAUUGACGGGGGCCCGCACAAGCGGUGGAGCAUGUGGUUUAAUUCGAUGCAACGCGAAGAACCUUACCUGGUCUUGACAUCCACAGAACUUUCCAGAGAUGGACUGGUGCCUUCGGGAACUGUGAGACAGGUGCUGCAUGGCUGUCGUCAGCUCGUGUUGUGAAAUGUUGGGUUAAGUCCCGCAACGAGCGCAACCCUUAUCCUUUGUUGCCAGCGGUCCGGCCGGGAACUCAAAGGAGACUGCCAGUGAUAAACUGGAGGAAGGUGGGGAUGACGUCAAGUCAUCAUGGCCCUUACGACCAGGGCUACACACGUGCUACAAUGGCGCAUACAAAGAGAAGCGACCUCGCGAGAGCAAGCGGACCUCAUAAAGUGCGUCGUAGUCCGGAUUGGAGUCUGCAACUCGACUCCAUGAAGUCGGAAUCGCUAGUAAUCGUGGAUCAGAAUGCCACGGUGAAUACGUUCCCGGGCCUUGUACACACCGCCCGUCACACCAUGGGAGUGGGUUGCAAAAGAAGUAGGUAGCUUAACCUUCGGGAGGGCGCUACCACUUUUGAUUCGGG